AGUGAACGCUGGCGGUAGGCCUAACACAUGCAAGUCGAACGGCAGCACAGUAAGAGCUUGCUCUUACGGGUGGCGAGUGGCGGACGGGUGAGGAAUACAUCGGAAUCUACUUUUUCGUGGGGGAUAACGUAGGGAAACUUACGCUAAUACCGCAUACGACCUACGGGUGAAAGCAGGGGAUCUUCGGACCUUGCGCGAUUGAAUGAGCCGAUGUCGGAUUAGCUAGUUGGCGGGGUAAAGGCCCACCAAGGCGACGAUCCGUAGCUGGUCUGAGAGGAUGAUCAGCCACACUGGAGCUGAGACACGGUCCAGCCUCCUACGGGAGGCAGCAGUGGGGAAUCUUGGACAAUGGGCGCAAGCCUGAUCCAGCCAUACCGCGUGGGUGAAGAAGGCCUUCGGGUUGUAAAGCCCUUUUGUUGGGAAAGAAAAGCAGCAGGUUAAUACCCCGCUGUUCUGACGGUACCCAAAGAAUAAGCACCGGCUAACUUCGU
Molecule: ribosomal RNA, 491 nt
Filed under: uncultured bacterium
Lineage: Bacteria
Description: partial 16S ribosomal RNA
Rfam family: Bacterial small subunit ribosomal RNA
Source: RNAcentral